This is a long non-coding RNA of Uranotaenia lowii, 1176 nucleotides long. RefSeq lists it as uncharacterized. The record is from RefSeq and is a predicted model, not a curated record. Lineage: Eukaryota; Metazoa; Arthropoda; Insecta; Diptera; Culicidae. The transcript has 4 exons.
GAUUUUACGAAGUUCGUUUAUUUUAUGUAAACAAAUAGCUUCGCAGUAAAUUUUCGGUAAUAAAACACCGAAAACUGUAAAUCAGUGUCGCUGUCAACACAAACGUCAAAUUUCAGGCGUCCGUUUCUGGCAGCUUUGAGCGCAACUGUCUCUCUCUCUGAUAACCGCGAUGCAUAGUGGCAUCCCGCUUGCGCUGUAGAGAAAGUAAAGCAGGAAGAACGUAUGCGCGUGAGAUCUGUUCGUUUCUGUUUUGUCAAAAGAUUGUUUUGUUUUGUUUGACCCUCUUCCGUUCGCAUUUUAAACAGAUUUUGUUUGUUCGCAGUUCAGGAAGUGUUACAACACAGUUAAUUGGCAUUCCGUCCCCGGGAGAAAAAAAAACAGUCGCCAAAGACUCUUAUCCAUUGGUGCAAUCAACACAGGAGUACAUAACGGCAUCGAGUUUGCGCAAGAAUUAAUACGGGGGAACAGAUCAAUGAUCUUUCAUGAUGCAGUAUCACAACACAGUGAUUUUUACUUCUACAAAAUCCGAGCCAUCAUUCCGGCUUAUUCGGUUGCUCCCACUGUCCGCACCAAAACCAAACCAAAUUUUCAGCACCACAGGAACCAGGAGCUGUCGAAAGAAACAUGUUCAUCCCACUCUGACAGGAACGAUAAGAAUCAGAGGUUCUCAGAUUUUACGAAGAAAUUAAAGUGUUGCUUAGACAAGUAAUCCUCUUGAAGGAAACGAUGCGGCCCCGCCAAUUUGACCACUAGUGCUCCGAUCAAUUCCAAGAAUUUCACGUUGGCGAGGACAAGCUCCAGCAACUGCUCCUCCAACGAGGAAAAAACCAUUCCUUCAUCAUCAUCAUCUGCUGAAUCAAAUACAUUUGAAUCAAGGAUACAUUUCCCCUAAGUGAUGGUAUCACAACCGGCUUUCAAUGAAGCCAAUAAUGGAUCAACUGCCUGUACUCCGGCACCGGGUCGACAACUUUGGAUCCCGAACCUUUCGACACAGCAUAGAUAGAUGAAAAGGAUUUGGACAUCGAUGUGUAUUCUCAUGUUUCAUGCUAAUAGGACUUGUUUCUGACGUACUAUCCUCCUGGAUUCCUUGUACCUCAAGUAAUCAGUUUCAAGGAGAACCAUUUUUAUCGUAAGUAACAUUCGGAUUUUUAUGAAACAAUACGCAUAUAGAGCAAC